This 486-nucleotide ribosomal RNA is filed under the name uncultured bacterium. RNAcentral's name for it is "bacterial SSU rRNA". It matches the Rfam family "Bacterial small subunit ribosomal RNA", at positions 28 to 526 of the family's 1533-position model. The record is from RNAcentral.
GACGAACGCUGGCGGCGUGCUUUACACAUGCAAGUCGAGCGAGGCCCUCUCCUUCGGGAGGGGAGCCCUAGCGGCGAACGGGUGAGUAACACGUGGGCAACCUGCCCCUAGCACUGGGAUAAGCCCGGGAAACCGGGUCUAAUACCGGAUAUGACCCUCUUAGGCAUCUUUGAGGGUGUAAAGGAUUCUGGCUAGGGAUGGGCCCGCGGCCUAUCAGCUUGUUGGUGGGGUAACGGCCUACCAAGGCUUCGACGGGUAGCCGGCCUGAGAGGGCGACCGGCCACACUGGGACUGAGACACGGCCCAGACUCCUACGGGAGGCAGCAGUGGGGAAUAUUGCACAAUGGGCGCAAGCCUGAUGCAGCAACGCCGCGUGAGGGAUGACGGCCUUCGGGUUGUAAACCUCUUUUAGUAGGGAAGAAGCGUAAGUGACGGUACCUGCAGAAAAAGCACCGGCUAACUACGUGCCAGCAGCCGCAGUAAUAC